GGAGGUACUUCCCGUCUGGUGACGGGCCUGGUCUUCAAAACCAGCCGGACUGCGGCGAGAGUCGUGGUCGGUGGGUUCGAUUCCCAUGUGCCUCCGCCA
Molecule: transfer RNA, 99 nt
Filed under: Deltaproteobacteria bacterium
Lineage: Bacteria; Pseudomonadati; Myxococcota; Myxococcia
Also listed under: 1 other name
Description: tRNA-Sec
Rfam family: Selenocysteine transfer RNA
Source: RNAcentral